This 253-nucleotide ribosomal RNA is filed under the name uncultured bacterium. RNAcentral describes it as "partial 16S ribosomal RNA". It matches the Rfam family "Bacterial small subunit ribosomal RNA", at positions 524 to 776 of the family's 1533-position model. The record is from RNAcentral.
UACGUAGGUGGCGAGCGUUGUCCGGAUUUACUGGGCGUAAAGAGCGCGCAGGCGGUCGUACAAGUCGCGUGUGAAAGCCCCCGGCUCAACUGGGGAGGGUCACGCGAUACUGUUCGACUCGAAGGCAGGAGAGGGAAGUGGAAUUCCCGGUGUAAGGGUGAAAUCUGUAGAUAUCGGGAAGAACACCAGCGGCGAAGGCGCUUACCUGGACCAUUCCUGACACUGAAUUGCGAAAGCUAGGGGAGCAAACAGA